RNAcentral lists this ribosomal RNA (468 nucleotides) under uncultured bacterium. RNAcentral's name for it is "partial 16S ribosomal RNA". It matches the Rfam family "Bacterial small subunit ribosomal RNA", at positions 28 to 507 of the family's 1533-position model. The record is from RNAcentral.
GACGAACGCUGGCGGCGUGCUUAACACAUGCAAGUCGAACGGAAAGGCCCUGCUUUUGUGGGGUGCUCGAGUGGCGAACGGGUGAGUAACACGUGAGUAACCUGCCCUUGACUUUGGGAUAACUUCAGGAAACUGGGGCUAAUACCGGAUAGGAGCUCCUGCUGCAUGGUGGGGGGUGGAAAUUUUCGGCGGGUGGGGAUGGACUCGCGGCUUAUCAGCUUGUUGGUGGGGUAGUGGCUUACCAAGGCUUUGACGGGUAGCCGGCCUGAGAGGGUGACCGGCCACAUUGGGACUGAGAUACGGCCCAGACUCCUACGGGAGGCAGCAGUGGGGAAUAUUGCACAAUGGGCGGAAGCCUGAUGCAGCAACGCCGCGUGCGGGAUGACGGCCUUCGGGUUGUAAACCGCUUUCGCCUGUGACGAAGCGUGAGUGACGGUAAUGGGUAAAGAAGCACCGGCUAACUACGUG